This 68-nucleotide small nucleolar RNA is filed under the name Dasypus novemcinctus (nine-banded armadillo). RNAcentral's name for it is "Small nucleolar RNA SNORD50 (ENSDNOG00000027018.1)". It matches the Rfam family "Small nucleolar RNA SNORD50". Rfam says of the family: U50 belongs to the C/D class of snoRNA which contain the C (UGAUGA) and D (CUGA) box motifs. Most of the members of the box C/D family function in directing site-specific 2'-O-methylation of substrate RNAs. Lineage: Eukaryota; Metazoa; Chordata; Mammalia; Cingulata; Dasypodidae. The record is from RNAcentral.
GCUCAAUGAUGUAACUAUCCCGAAACUGAACACCUGAAGAAAACAAGUACGGAUUCGGCUUCUGAGAU